This 156-nucleotide ribosomal RNA is filed under the name Aeromonas salmonicida subsp. salmonicida. Its description in RNAcentral is "partial 23S ribosomal RNA". The stretch from base 1 to 134 matches the Rfam family "Bacterial large subunit ribosomal RNA", at positions 2796 to 2925 of the family's 2925-position model. The record is from RNAcentral. Lineage: Bacteria; Pseudomonadati; Pseudomonadota; Gammaproteobacteria; Aeromonadales; Aeromonadaceae.
GCCCUGAGAUGAGUCAUCCCUGACCCUUGAGGGUCCUAAAGGGCCGUUGGAGACCACAACGUUGAUAGGUGGGGUGUGUAAGCGCAGUGAUGUGUUGAGCUAACCCAUACUAAUUACCCGUGAGGCUUAACCAUACAACACCCAAGAAGUGUUCUG